CUAAGCAUAAGAAGAAAAACACACCAAAAACCAACUCUCUCUCAAGUCUCAUCCGAGAGCAAUCCAAGAGUUGGAAGAAAUAGAGAGUGAGAGAAAGAAGCUUCUGUGAAGCUUUAGUAAAUAGAGAGGGAGAAAGAUAGUUCAAAUAGAAGAGUGUUUUAUUUGGGUUCCAUCACAUAGUUAUUGUGGUGAAGUAAUUUGAGUUUGUACUCAAAUUAAGAUAUCUUUGUAUUCUCUCAUAUUAUUCUAGUGGAUUUUUCGGAGAUCGUCCCGUGGUUUUUACCUCUUAGUUUUAGAGGGUUUUCCACGUAAAAAUUCUUGGUGUCUCGUGGUUUGAUAAUCUUGGUGUCUCUUUGUUUGUUU
Molecule: long non-coding RNA, 363 nt
Filed under: Panax ginseng (ginseng)
Lineage: Eukaryota; Viridiplantae; Streptophyta; Magnoliopsida; Apiales; Araliaceae
Description: long non-coding RNA (PGIN_LNC011881)
Source: RNAcentral